UAAGCGACGGAGCAGUGAGUAUUAUUUAGUUUUGACUUGCUUAAUAGUAAUAAAUGUGUGUAUAAACAAUAAAAGAAAGGUGGCAGCCUAAGUUAGCUUGAGCUAGCGUGUAUCUUCAAAUGAAAAACAAGCAUCUAUGCUGAUAAACGGGGUCCGUUGUUAUGAAUACGAGUAACAAAUGUGUGUUAUGUUCAUACACUGAGUAAACGAGGGAGGAAAAAGAGGAACCCGCUCGGUUACAACAAAAACUCUUGGACACUCAGAAAGCUGGAAACUCAGUGACUACGUUUGAAAAACAGAAGUAGGAGGCUUUGAUAAAGCCAGAAAGGUCACAUACGGGAUUGUUGUGCGACCAAUAGGCAUCCAGCAGCAGGUUUAUUUUGGCAGGCUGACUGCGCAUGGCUACAGUCAAUAUGGAGACAUUACGGAGAGAAUUAGCGAACAAAUUGUGUUCACGUCAGAUAAAUAUGCCAGCCAGGCAGCAGCAUGGAGACUCAGAAACACUAUUCCCACACAGGACGCACAUGCUGUAACUUGCCGACUGCCAGCCAGACAGUAAACAAACCGGACAGGGGCCAAUGGGAACUCGAGAUCAUCGCUGUGACAUUUGGAAAGGACUGAAAACUGAGCGAGGUCCCGCCCACCAUUGACUUUGUACAGAGGCUGCUGGAGGAGGUCACAGACAUGGAAGCAGCCCAAACUUUGGAUGGGAAAUGGUCUGUGUCCUCAUCACCUGGACAUGUCACAGUAUACUUUUGAAAGUUUGUGUAUAGUUUAACAACUGAAAAUGUGCAGGGAUGUACAGUAGGUGCGGAAAAUGUAGCCAGUGUUUAAAACGACAAUGCAGCACAAUCACUGUCUCCUCCCCAUGUCAGCAAAUGCUAUGUUUAGAUUGCCAUCAUUAACUUUUCAUCAAUAUUUAGACUUCGUAUUGACAGCAAAAGGUUGCAUAUGAUUGAUGUUUUCCAAAAUGUUAAUGACAAAUGUUUAAAUCAGCAUUUUUGAUAUGAUAAAAUCAGAUUACGUUUACAUUCAGAUAUGUAUACUAACAUUGUACAUCUUGUAAAUAGUCAUGCAAUUGAAACACAUUUCAUUUAAAUAUGAAUACUUUUUAUCUAAGUAAUCAUCAGUAUUACAGUAGUUUUAAAUACCUAAAACAACACUACCUAAAGAUCUAUUAAUCCUGAAAUGAGUUGUACCUUCUGCAAUAAGACAGACUUAUGUACUUUCUAAUACAGCAUAAUAUAAUGUUUCCAUUUUUGCUGCAGUUUGUUAACACUAUAUCAGGAAGAGAGACAGGUAGGAAGACAGAGUAUGUAUAACAAAUGGGGCAGUAAAUCAGUCCUCUGGUAGAAACAGACAUUUAGUCCCUUAGGAAGUACCUUGCCAACAACAUAAACACAAACUGCUAACAACCAUACAUUGUUAUUCAAAGGACGUGCAAGACAUUAUUGUUGCUUUGGAGGACACCCUAUAUAUCCAUUUAAAGGUUGGUGCUAGAGCUACAAGUACUUCUGAACUUUAAAACGUAUUGUUUUUGUUUGUCAGUUCUGUUUUUAACAAAUAAAGUAAGUUGAUCUAUCA
Long non-coding RNA from Eleginops maclovinus (Patagonian blennie), 1584 nucleotides. RefSeq lists it as uncharacterized. NCBI's taxonomy places the organism in Eukaryota, Metazoa, Chordata, Actinopteri, Perciformes, Eleginopidae. The record is from RefSeq and is a predicted model, not a curated record. The transcript has 2 exons.